This 253-nucleotide ribosomal RNA is filed under the name uncultured bacterium. RNAcentral describes it as "partial 16S ribosomal RNA". It matches the Rfam family "Bacterial small subunit ribosomal RNA", at positions 524 to 776 of the family's 1533-position model. The record is from RNAcentral.
UACAGAGGUCCCGAGCGUUGUUCGGAUUCACUGGGCGUAAAGGGUGCGUAGGUGGCGAGGUAAGUCGGAUGCGAAAGCUCGGAGCUCAACUCCGAAAUGGCAUUGGAAACUACCUUGCUCGAGGGUUGGAGGGGGGACUGGAAUACUUGGUGUAGCAGUGAAAUGCGUAGAUAUCAAGUGGAACACCAGUGGCGAAGGCGAGUCCCUGGACAACUCCUGACACUGAGGCACGAAAGCUAGGGGAGCAAACAGG